RNAcentral lists this ribosomal RNA (427 nucleotides) under uncultured bacterium. RNAcentral describes it as "bacterial SSU rRNA". It matches the Rfam family "Bacterial small subunit ribosomal RNA", at positions 355 to 774 of the family's 1533-position model. The record is from RNAcentral.
UGGGGAAUUUUGGACAAUGGGCGAAAGCCUGAUCCAGCAAUGCCGCGUGCUUGAAGAAGGCCUUCGGGUUGUAAACUGCUUUUGUACGGAACGAAACGGUCUUUUUUAAUACAAGGGGUUAAUGACGGUACCGUAAGAAUAAGCACCGGCUAACUACGUGCCAGCAGCCGCGGUAAUACGUAGGGUGCAAGCGUUAAUCGGAAUUACUGGGCGUAAAGCGUGCGCAGGCGGUUAUGCAAGACAGAUGUGAAAUCCCCGGGCUCAACCUGGGAACUGCAUUUGUGACUGCAUAGCUAGAGUGCGGCAGAGGGGGAUGGAAUUCCGCGUAUAGAAGUGAAAUGCGUAGAUAUGCGGAGGAACACCGAUGGCGAAGGCAAUCCCCUGGGCCUGCAAUGACGCUCAUGCACGAAAGAGUGGGGAGCAAACA